CCUACGGGGGGCAGCAGUGGGGAAUAUUGCACAAUGGGGGAAACCCUGAUGCAGCGACGCCGCGUGAGCGAAGAAGUAUUUCGGUAUGUAAAGCUCUAUCAGCAGGGAAGAAAAAAAUGACGGUACCUGAGUAAGAAGCACCGGCUAAAUACGUGCCAGCAGCCGCGGUAAUACGUAGGGAGCAAGCGUUAUCCGGAUUUAUUGGGUGUAAAGGGUGCGUAGACGGAGAAGCAAGUUAGUUGUGAAAUCCCUCGGCUUAACUGAGGAACUGCAACUAAAACUACUUCCCUUGAGUACUGGAGAGG
This 305-nucleotide ribosomal RNA is filed under the name uncultured bacterium. RNAcentral's name for it is "bacterial SSU rRNA". It matches the Rfam family "Bacterial small subunit ribosomal RNA", at positions 338 to 657 of the family's 1533-position model. The record is from RNAcentral.